RNAcentral lists this long non-coding RNA (983 nucleotides) under Homo sapiens (human). RNAcentral describes it as "LNC_000279". The record is from RNAcentral. Lineage: Eukaryota; Metazoa; Chordata; Mammalia; Primates; Hominidae.
CUUGGCCUUGAAGAGUUUAUUUACUCAUUCACUCAGCAGCAUUCACCAAGCCCUACUGUGUGCAUUGGUUGGGCAAGGGGUGGUGUUGGGGGUAGAGUGAGCGUUGCUGGCAGGGGGAGCCGGGGUGGAUGUGAAGCAGCCCACAGGUCAGGCCUCCAUAUCUGGAAAGAGCAGGAACCCGGAAAAGAUGCUGUUGGCACCCUCCAUGCCCAGUAGUGAGUUCUUGUCGGUGGCCUGCAGGAAGACGUUCUCCCCCUGCUCCAGCUUGAGGACCAUGCCACCGGUGGUGACCUGGAAGGUGUUGUAGGCAUAGUCACAGAAGGUGACCACCUUCUGUGCACGCUCCCGGCCACGCAUGAGGUUCACGCACAGGUUCCCUCGAGAGCUGGCGUGGUAGGUGAAGUAGUAGAGACCGGGCACCUUGCAGGUGAACUUGCCACUGCGGGGCUCAUAAUUGUUGUUCAUGUUGGUGAUCACGUGGUCGAAGCGGAUGGUCUGGUCCCGGCGCAGGGGGACGUUGAUGGUUCUUGUGGCAGAGAAGGCGAUUUUCUGGGUGGCCUUGUAGUCUCCCGAUUCACCUUUGGGGCCUGGGGCUCCAGGGGCCCCUGGGCCACCUUUAGGGCCCAUGGGGCCCUUGGGGCCGACUUUUCCUGGAUUCCCAGGAAUCCCUGGGUCUCCCUUCUCUCCGAACUCACCAUGGUCUCCAGCCAGCCCUGGAAGCCCUUUCUCUCCUUUUAUCCCUGGGGUCCCAGGUUGGCCAUCGGGGCCAGGUGUCCCAGGGAUACCCGGGAUGCCAGGGAUGGCUGGGGGCCCGGUGCAGCUGAGCUGGGCCUGGGAGAUAUCGAUUAGGCCCAGGAGCAGGAGCAACAUCAGUACUGGGAUGCUGCCCCAUGGGAUCUUCAUCAUCAUACUGUGUCAGACGCCUCCUGGGAAGCUGGUGUCCUGUGAGGCCACUGGGCUGAGCAGCAGUGGGACCAGGAGCC